UUCCCAGUGAACCCGCAGCUGAGUGUCCAGAGCUGUGGACUCCUGCCAAUGAGACGACGGACACAGCGCCCCUGCUCUCUCGCUCUCUCUGUCUCUGUCUCUGCACAGAAAUGCUGAUUAACCUCCCAUUGUUGUCCUACUCUGAGUGCGACCCCACACCUCGGCGCGUUUGAAAACAUUUGGCCACGUUCCAAACCACGUCGUCAGAGACGAGAGUGGAGAUGUGUUUUAAUGAGGCCGGUUCCCAGGGAAUGUAAAAAUAAAAACCAGCCUCAGUGAAGUGGAGAUAAUGUCACACACACGUCGUCUCUCAGCUGGAGGGAUUGUCCUCUAAGAAAUAUGAAAGUGUGCAGACAGGAAGUGUCCACACCUGCACUCAGAGGUUGAGAGGAGGAAAAAAAAGCUUCUUUGACCUAAAAACACACACAGAGCACAUGACUCUUGAAGGUGAGCAGUGACUCUCUCUCUCUCUCUCUCCGUGGUGUGGCACAAUGAUGGGCUGCCCCCUGCAGUUCAGCCUGAGGUGCGUCAGCCUCAUCAUGUUCACCAAACACUGCACUGCGUUACAUCCUGGAAACCAUGGACGUGAGAGCUCCAAGUGUUUUCACUGCGGAAAAAAAUGGCAUCUUACUCCAGAUCUUCUGGACGUGAAUAAAAUAUGGCAGUCGAUCUCUCAGCCUGUAGGAGACAUAAAAAAUUCAGUGCAACUAUUCUUGCUCUGCUGUUUCCUCUGUUAGGUAACUCCCCUCACUCUUCCUGCAGCUGCUGCCGUACUUUGCCUCUUCCUCAGAUUGACGCUGCAAACUCGUCAGUGAAGUGCAGAUGUAGAAACGUGGGAGUGGAGACACACGGCCAUCAGAGGGCACCGACUGCGGAGGCGUGAGUAAUCCCUGCUGUUGCUGUGGCAACCGGCCAAAUAUGGCACCAUCGCCAUCUGGUGCAGAUGGAUGGAUCCAUACAUGUGCAAACACCUCAGAGAGAAGGCUCACCUCAUAAAAUCUGCGUCCGCCUAAGUCGCUCAAUCCCCUGCACCAAAGUGCAUGGAGAAAACUGUCGAUUUUACAUCACAGCACACAGGAGUUGUUGAUCCACUGCUGCCCCCGCAGGCUAAAAAGGCCAAUUUUCUCUAUGGACUUUGGUGCAGGAGAGUAAGAAAAGUCUGUUUGACAGUGAGGAACAUAUUCACAAGCUAUCGUAUUUAAAAUGAACCGAGUGACCGCUCUUCAAAGAAUGUAAACGAGUGAGUGUGUCACAGGGCAGAGCAGAGGAAAAAAUGAGUCUCCAGCUGUUGUUCUGCAUGAGCUGGAGCUGAGUGUAUAUGUGGUGUGUGGUUUUCCGGCAGAACUCUCCACACAGCUGCAGUUACUGCACUUACAGCAGUUAUAGCAGUUACUGCACUUACAGCAGUUAUAGCAGUUACUGCACUUACAGCAGACAGAUGGACCUCAGACCUGAUCAGUCAGAGGCUCCUCCUCGUAUCCUCCCCUGACCUCUGGACAUGACCUUUAAAUUUAGCUGAAGAGACAAGAGACGAGUUUUCUCGCUCUGACUCGUCUUCAACUUUUAUAGAUAUUUGAUUUUGUCUCGUGUGAGAAAUGUGAGCUGGAAAUGACUCACGGCUCAAAACAACUAAUGUGUUCCAGACCUUCAUGACCCAGGAUAUGAGUGGUGUGAAGUGAGAGCGACGCCGAGUUAAACACAUUCUAGUUGGAAACUAUGAGGAAACAUUAACCAAAACCUAUCUGGGGCUAUUGAUAGUUAGUAAUACUAGUCAAUAAAAACACUCUACACCAGGGGUUUCAAACUAAAAUGACCUGGGGGCUCUUUAUUAUUAUUAUUAUUGUUAUAAUAAUAAUAAUAAUAAUAAUGAUAAUAAUAAUAAUGUAU
Long non-coding RNA from Solea solea (common sole), 1887 nucleotides. RefSeq lists it as uncharacterized. The transcript has 3 exons. Lineage: Eukaryota; Metazoa; Chordata; Actinopteri; Pleuronectiformes; Soleidae. The record is from RefSeq and is a predicted model, not a curated record.